GACGAACGCUGGCGGCGUGCUUAACACAUGCAAGUCGAACGAUGAAAGCGGGAGCUUGCUCCUGCUGGAUUAGUGGCGAACGGGUGAGUAACACGUGAGCAAUCUGCCCCGAACUCUGGGAUAAGCGUUGGAAACGACGUCUAAUACCGGAUACGACGCGCGAAGGCAUCUUCUGCGCGUGGAAAGAAUUUCGGUUCGGGAUGAGCUCGCGGCCUAUCAGCUAGUUGGUGAGGUAAUGGCUCACCAAGGCGACGACGGGUAGCCGGCCUGAGAGGGUGACCGGCCACACUGGGACUGAGACACGGCCCAGACUCCUACGGGAGGCAGCAGUGGGGAAUAUUGCACAAUGGGCGCAAGCCUGAUGCAGCAACGCCGCGUGAGGGACGACGGCCUCGGGUUGUAAACCGUCUUUAGUAGGGUAAGAAGCGAAAGUGACGGUA
This 440-nucleotide ribosomal RNA is filed under the name uncultured bacterium. RNAcentral describes it as "bacterial SSU rRNA". It matches the Rfam family "Bacterial small subunit ribosomal RNA", at positions 28 to 477 of the family's 1533-position model. The record is from RNAcentral.